This 426-nucleotide ribosomal RNA is filed under the name uncultured bacterium. RNAcentral's name for it is "bacterial SSU rRNA". It matches the Rfam family "Bacterial small subunit ribosomal RNA", at positions 30 to 457 of the family's 1533-position model. The record is from RNAcentral.
AUUGAACGCUGGCGGCAUGCCUUACACAUGCAAGUCGAACGGCAGCACGGGAGCAAUCCUGGUGGCGAGUGGCGAACGGGUGAGUAAUAUAUCGGAACGUGCCCAGUCGUGGGGGAUAACGUAGCGAAAGCUACGCUAAUACCGCAUACGAUCUAUGGAUGAAAGCGGGGGAUCGCAAGACCUCGCGCGAUUGGAGCGGCCGAUAUCAGAUUAGGUAGUUGGUGAGGUAAAGGCUCACCAAGCCGACGAUCUGUAGCUGGUCUGAGAGGACGACCAGCCACACUGGGACUGAGACACGGCCCAGACUCCUACGGGAGGCAGCAGUGGGGAAUUUUUGGACAAUGGGCGCAAGCCUGAUCCAGCAAUGCCGCGUGCAGGAUGAAGGCCUCGGUUGUAACGUGCUUUGUUACGGUAACGAACGGUAGA